Molecule: transfer RNA, 76 nt
Rfam family: tRNA
About the family: Transfer RNA (tRNA) molecules are approximately 80 nucleotides in length. Their secondary structure includes four short double-helical elements and three loops (D, anti-codon, and T loops).
GUCGUUCUAGCUCAAACGGUAGAGCAGUGGUCUCCAAAACCAUUGGUUCGGGGUUCGAAUCCUCGGGGCGGCGCGA